UACAGAGGGUGCGAGCGUUAAUCGGAAUUACUGGGCGUAAAGCGUGCGUAGACGGUUAUUUAAGUCGGGUGGGAAAGCCCCGGGCUCAACCUGGGAAUUGCAUUCGAGACUGAAUAGCUAGGGUACGGUAGAGGGAAGCGGAAUUUCCGGUGUAGCGGUGAAAUGCGUAGAUAUCAAGAGGAACACCUGAGGCGAAGGCGGGUUGCUAGGCUGACACUGACGCUGAGGCGCGAAAGCCAGGGGAGCAAACGGG
This 253-nucleotide ribosomal RNA is filed under the name uncultured bacterium. RNAcentral describes it as "partial 16S ribosomal RNA". It matches the Rfam family "Bacterial small subunit ribosomal RNA", at positions 524 to 776 of the family's 1533-position model. The record is from RNAcentral.